Molecule: ribosomal RNA, 253 nt
Filed under: uncultured bacterium
Lineage: Bacteria
Description: partial 16S ribosomal RNA
Rfam family: Bacterial small subunit ribosomal RNA
Source: RNAcentral
UACAGAGGGGGCAAGCGUUGUUCGGAAUUACUGGGCGUAAAGGGCGCGUAGGCGGCCUUCUAAGUCGAACGUGAAAUCCCCGGGCUCAACCCGGGAACUGCGUCCGAUACUGGAAGGCUUGAAUCCGGGAGAGGGAUGUGGAAUUCCAGGUGUAGCGGUGAAAUGCGUAGAUAUCUGGAGGAACACCGGUGGCGAAGGCGGAUCUCUGGGCCUUACCUGACGCUGAGGAGCGAAAGCAUGGGGAGCAAACAGG